UCUUAAUAAAAUCUGUUUGGGGGACGCUCAGCUGAUGGGACCCGGCCGCGCAAGUCGGGGAGCAGCCGGGUGGGUGAUGCAGGACACCAGGCAAGGUCCCUGCUGCGGCUGGCAGGCGCACGGCUCCUCGGAGGAGGUUGGUGCGGUCUAAAAUAACACUUUUCUUUACCAAAUCAACUCGCUACCUAAGCCCACCAUCCCUGUUACCCUCUCUUCCUUCCUCCUUCAGACAAAAACCUAAAAGUGAGACGGGAGGCUUGCGGGGGGCGGUGCAAGCCCAGAAAGGGAACUGAGAAGAAAAGCGCCAGUGACAAGACACAAAAUGGAGAAAGAGGAACCGAGAGGGCACAGAAACCAGGGAAGAGCCAGGAAGAGGAGUUAACAAGGAAACUGGAAGAAUCAGAAAAGAAGUGUCAAACAGAGAUGGCAGAAUAUGGAAUACCUGUCCUGUAUCUUCCAGGAGGCUCCUUUGUUCUCCCCACCUGUCACGUGUUUCAGAUUCAUUGGUGGGGGAGGGGAGACUAUAGCCUUUCCUUUUGAAAUGUAAAUAUUAAGUCCAUCAAUCCAUGAAUAACUAUGGUUAUAUUGUAGGGGAGAUCUGGGUUCCUGGGAGGGUAGGAGAGAAACAGAUUUCUUGCAUAUUUGGCCAUUUUCCCCAGGACCCAAGUGACAGAUUCCUGGCAUCAACCAUGUUCUGUAUAAGUUGAAACACUCAUCACUCUAUAUUAAUUAUGUAUAUCUUAGUUUGUGUGCCUUGAACUUGGAUUAGUUGGAAUUCCAUGUUAUCAUAUAAACUAGAGUUCCCUCCAACUGUGAUCAGUUUCACACAAAGGGUUGCCUGUGUACCCCUGAAACAGACAUCUGGGAGGAAGGGAAUUAGCGAGAAGAUAGGCAGGGUAGAGGGUCUCAGGACACUGGUGUAGAGCAACAUCCUUGAGGAAACAGGUGCAAAGUAAUCCUCAGUGGGUUGCCAACAUCAUGUGCCUUGUUGAGCAAGCCCCAGGCAGCCCUCCCACCACACACAACAUAGGCUGGGGCCCAGAGAGGGAGGUUGCACAAGUCUUUCCCUAGAAGUCAUCCCUCAGUUUCAUAGAAUGCUCCAGUUUAAAUGAGGUUUUCAAAUGAAAUAAAUGCCCCAUGUAGGAUUUAGAUUUCA
RNAcentral lists this long non-coding RNA (1156 nucleotides) under Urocitellus parryii (Arctic ground squirrel). Its description in RNAcentral is "lncRNA (ENSUPAG00010005574.1)". Lineage: Eukaryota; Metazoa; Chordata; Mammalia; Rodentia; Sciuridae. The record is from RNAcentral.